Molecule: ribosomal RNA, 500 nt
Filed under: uncultured bacterium
Lineage: Bacteria
Description: partial 16S ribosomal RNA
Rfam family: Bacterial small subunit ribosomal RNA
Source: RNAcentral
AUUGAACGCUGGCGGAAUGCUUUACACAUGCAAGUCGAACGGCAGCACGGACUUCGGUCUGGUGGCGAGUGGCGAACGGGUGAGUAAUGUAUCGGAACGUGCCCAGUCGUGGGGGAUAACGUAGUGAAAAUUACGCUAAUACCGCAUACGAUUUAUGGAUGAAAGCGGGGGAUCGCAAGACCUCGCGCGAUUGGAGCGGCCGAUAUCAGAUUAGGUAGUUGGUGGGGUAAAGGCCCACCAAGCCAACGAUCUGUAGCUGGUCUGAGAGGACGACCAGCCACACUGGAACUGAGACACGGUCCAGACUCCUACGGGAGGCAGCAGUGGGGAAUUUUGGACAAGGGGCGAAAGCCUGAUCCAGACAUUCCGCGUGCAGGAUGAAGGCCCUCGGGUUGUAAACUGCUUUUGUACAGAACGAAAAGGUUUCUACUAAUACUAGGAGCUCAUGACGGUACUGUAAGAAUAAGCACCGGCUAACUACGUGCCAGCCGCCGCGGUAA